CAAGUCGAACGCACUCUUCGGAGUGAGUGGCAGACGGGUGAGUAACGCGUGGGAACCUUCCCAAUGGUACGGAAUAGCCCAGGGAAACUUGGGGUAAUACCGUAUAAGCCCUACGGGGGAAAGAUUUAUCGCCAUUGGAUGGGCCCGCGUCGGAUUAGCUUGUUGGUGGGGUAAUGGCCUACCAAGGCAACGAUCCGUAGCUGGUCUGAGAGGAUGAUCAGCCACACUGGGACUGAGACACGGCCCAGACUCCUACGGGAGGCAGCAGUGGGGAAUAUUGGACAAUGGGCGAAAGCCUGAUCCAGCCAUGCCGCGUGAGUGACGAAGGCCUUAGGGUUGUAAAGCUCUUUUGGCGGGGACGAUAAUGACGGUACCCGCAGAAUAAGCUCCGGCUAACUUCGUGCCAGCAGCCGCGGUAAUACGAAGGGAGCUAGCGUUGUUCGGAAUCACUGGGCGUAAAGCGCACGUAGGCGGAUUUGUUAGUCAGGGGUGAAAUCCCGGGGCUCAACCUCGGAACUGCCUUUGAUACUGCAAGUCUCGAGUCCGAGAGAGGUGGGUGGAAUUCCUAGUGUAGAGGUGAAAUUCGUAGAUAUUAGGAAGAACACC
RNAcentral lists this ribosomal RNA (606 nucleotides) under Pedomicrobium manganicum. Its description in RNAcentral is "bacterial SSU rRNA". It matches the Rfam family "Bacterial small subunit ribosomal RNA", at positions 58 to 710 of the family's 1533-position model. Lineage: Bacteria; Pseudomonadati; Pseudomonadota; Alphaproteobacteria; Hyphomicrobiales; Hyphomicrobiaceae. The record is from RNAcentral.